Molecule: long non-coding RNA, 1190 nt
Filed under: Carica papaya (papaya)
Lineage: Eukaryota; Viridiplantae; Streptophyta; Magnoliopsida; Brassicales; Caricaceae
Description: long non-coding RNA (CPAP_LNC014000)
Source: RNAcentral
UCUUUGAGAUAGAAUGGGUGUAUCUGUUAUUCAAUUGGUACCACUAUGGGAUCAGGAUUCCCACUAUCACAAGGGGAUGGACAUACAACCAAAACACACACGAUGGUCAAAACAGUCCCUUGCCAAGUGACCCAAAACAUAACACACACCCCAACCAUGUCUAAAAGGAUUUUCAUCCACCCAAGGAUAAGGUUCACCAUACCGCUGAAUUUCAACAUUAUCAAUCUUAAACGGGUUAUCUCUAAAUUUUUGCUUCUUCCAAGUUUUUGUUUUGUUUUAUUUUUCUUAUUAUUCUAGUUAAGAUUAAUAUUAUUUUUUUUUUCUAACAAACUAAUUAUAUUUUCUAGAGACUUUGUACACUUUCUUAGUUAACCAUACUCUAUAUCUCACACUAUUUUAAUUCUUUCAAUUUGUCUUUUUUUCAUCCUUAUAGAACUCACUAACUCCCUUUAAUCAUACACUUUUCUGUUUAUUGUAAUUUAUUUAUGUAACAGCCCCGGAAAUGUGAAAAAAUGAAAUGAGUAUUUAAACACAUAAAAUGCGGAAGCGAGAUCAAAAUUUCAGUUAACAUCCCUUACACAAAAACCAAAAACGUACUUAAAAUAUAAAAGAUUAAACUAACUAAAAGAGAAACUCGAAAAUAAAACUAUGAGUAUGACUACAGAGUCUCUAGGCAUCCCCUUCGUCGUCCUCCUGCGGAACGGGCUCGGGAACCAUGUCUUCCUGAUCUGAAAUGGUUAAAUAAGGAGUGAACUACACUAACCCAGUAAGAACAUCACGAUAUCUCACCGUCACGGAGGUAAAGGUGGGUAGAAAAACACAAAAGACCAAUGGAGCAUGAUUUACAACAAAUCCUUUUAUUUAUGAUAAAACCUUUACCAUCCACUUACCUCGGUGGAAUUCAUGAAACAAUAUAAGAAAACAAUAACAUUAUCACAAUCAUGGAAUAAUAUAAGCUGUAAAACAUAGCACUUAUCACGCCUUUUGUAAUUCAAUCAUUAUACAACAUAUCAUUUUCUCAUUUACCAGCCUACUAGUAUCCAUGGGGGUCCAUAGGGGUCCCGUUACCCGUUAACCUUUAACAUUCAUAAUCAGUUUCCAGGGCAGUCCCCAUACCCCGUCCGGUAUGGGCGCCAAAACCAUAAACCUCAAUACCCCGUCCGGUAUGAGGGUGAAACGGGCCGUCCCCA